AGUCGAACGGUAACAGGAAGCAGCUUGCUGCUUUGCUGACGAGUGGCGGACGGGUGAGUAAUGUCUGGGAAACUGCCUGGUGGAGGGGGAUAACUACUGGAAACGGUAGCUAAUACCGCAUAACGUCGCAAGACCAAAGAGGGGGACCUUCGGGCCUCUUGCCAUCGGAUGUGCCCAGAUGGGAUUAGCUAGUAGGUGGGGUAACGGCUCACUUAGGCGACGAUCCCUAGCUGGUCUGAGAGGAUGACCAGCCACACUGGAACUGAGACACGGUCCAGACUCCUACGGGAGGCAGCAGUGGGGAAUAUUGCACAAUGGGCGCAAGCCUGAUGCAGCCAUGCCGCGUGUAUGAAGAAGGCCUUCGGGUUGUAAAGUACUUUCAGCGGGGAGGAAGGGAGUAAAGUUAAUACCUUUGCUCAUUGACGUUACCCGCAGAAGAAGCACCGGCUAACUCCGUGCCAGCAGCCGCGGUAAUACGGAGGGUGCAAGCGUUAAUCGGAAUUACCGGGCGUAAAGCGCACGCAGGCGGUUUGUUAAGUCAGAUGUGAAAUCCCCGGGCUCAACCUGGGAACUGCAUCUGAUACUGGCAAGCUUAAGUCUCGUAGAGGGGGGUAGAAUUCCAGGUGUAGCGGUGAAAUGCGUAGAGAUCUGGAGGAAUACCGGUGGCGAAGGCGGCC
This 677-nucleotide ribosomal RNA is filed under the name uncultured Pseudomonadota bacterium. RNAcentral's name for it is "bacterial SSU rRNA". It matches the Rfam family "Bacterial small subunit ribosomal RNA", at positions 60 to 726 of the family's 1533-position model. The record is from RNAcentral. Lineage: Bacteria; Pseudomonadati; Pseudomonadota.